Molecule: ribosomal RNA, 377 nt
Filed under: Paraburkholderia sp.
Lineage: Bacteria; Pseudomonadati; Pseudomonadota; Betaproteobacteria; Burkholderiales; Burkholderiaceae
Description: bacterial SSU rRNA
Rfam family: Bacterial small subunit ribosomal RNA
Source: RNAcentral
GCUAUAGGGGCGGCCGAUGGCGGAUUAGCUAGUUGGUGGGGUAAAGGCCUACCAAGGCGACGAUCCGUAGCUGGUCUGAGAGGACGACCAGCCACACUGGGACUGAGACACGGCCCAGACUCCUACGGGAGGCAGCAGUGGGGAAUUUUGGACAAUGGGCGAAAGCCUGAUCCAGCAAUGCCGCGUGUGUGAAGAAGGCCUUCGGGUUGUAAAGCACUUUUGUCCGGAAAGAAAUCCCUGAUCCUAAUACGGUCGGGGGAUGACGGUACCGGAAGAAUAAGCACCGGCUAACUACGUGCCAGCAGCCGCGGUAAUACGUAGGGUGCAAGCGUUAAUCGGAAUUACUGGGCGUAAAGCGUGCGCAGGCGGUUUUGUAA